UGGGGAAUUUUGGACAAUGGGCGAAAGCCUGAUCCAGCAAUGCCGCGUGUGUGAAGAAGGCCUUCGGGUUGUAAAGCACUUUUGUCCGGAAAGAAAUCCUUGGCUCUAAUACAGUCGGGGGAUGACGGUACCGGAAGAAUAAGCACCGGCUAACUACGUGCCAGCAGCCGCGGUAAUACGUAGGGUGCAAGCGUUAAUCGGAAUUACUGGGCGUAAAGCGUGCGCAGGCGGUUUGCUAAGACCGAUGUGAAAUCCCCGGGCUCAACCUGGGAACUGCAUUGGUGACUGGCAGGCUAGAGUAUGGCAGAGGGGGGUAGAAUUCCACGUGUAGCAGUGAAAUGCGUAGAGAUGUGGAGGAAUACCGAUGGCGAAGGCAGCCCCCUGGGCCAAUACUGACGCUCAUGCACGAAAGCGUGGGGAGCAAACAGGAUUAGAUACCCUGGUAGUCCACGCCCUAAAACGAUGUCAACUAGUUGUUGGGGAUUCAUUUCCUUAGUAACGUAGCUAACGCGUGAAGUUGACCGCCUGGGGGAGUACGGUCGCAAGAUUAAAACUUAAAGGAAUUGACGGGGUCAUAGCUG
This 581-nucleotide ribosomal RNA is filed under the name uncultured bacterium. RNAcentral's name for it is "partial 16S ribosomal RNA". It matches the Rfam family "Bacterial small subunit ribosomal RNA", at positions 355 to 932 of the family's 1533-position model. The record is from RNAcentral.